GGCCUAUUGAAAGAAGAUUUUAGGUCUAGCCUGCCCUCUGAUGUAUUUAAAUGGCCGCAGUAUUUUGACUGUGCUAAGGUAGCAUAAUAAUUAGUUUUUUAAUUGAAAGCUAGAAUGAAUGGUAUUAUGAAAAAAUUACUGUCUCUUUUAAAAAAUUAAAAUUUUAUUUUUAAGUUAAAAAGCUUAAAUAUUAUUAAAAGACGAGAAGACCCUAUAGAAUUUUAUUUAAAUUAAUUUUUAAUAAGUUAGUAUAUAAAAUUUAAAAAUAAAUUUAUAUUUAGUUGGGGUGAUUAGAAAAAUUAAAUAUCUUUUUUUCAUAUAAACAUUAAUUUAUGAUUUUAUGAUUCACAUUAGUGAUUUAAGAAUAAAUUACCUUAGGGAUAACAGCGUAAUUUUUUUUUAGAGUUCUAAUCAAAAAAAGAGAUUGCGACCUCGAUGUUGGAUUAAAAUUUAUUUUUGGUGUAGUAGCUAAAGUAUUAAGUCUGUUCGACUUUGAAAAUUUUACA
RNAcentral lists this ribosomal RNA (506 nucleotides) under Plateumaris sericea. RNAcentral's name for it is "partial 16S ribosomal RNA". The stretch from base 380 to 506 matches the Rfam family "Bacterial large subunit ribosomal RNA", at positions 2473 to 2600 of the family's 2925-position model. The record is from RNAcentral. Lineage: Eukaryota; Metazoa; Arthropoda; Insecta; Coleoptera; Chrysomelidae.